CAGCAUGACACCAUGAAGGAAGAAUACAGAAGCAGAAUGUGGUAGUGUCUUGGGGUGACUGUCAAGUCCUCUAAUUGCUCCUCAGUGCCCCUUGCUCUCCUUCAGGUGCCUGCUGGCAAUGAGACUCAAGAACCAGAAACAGCAGUUAAGAAACAAGGGCAAGAUGAGGCAGCCAUUGCUCUGGAGACUCUUUGGCUGCUAUGAGCCAUAUCAGUUGCAUUAACUUCACUGAGGCUUCACCAGCUACUCUUAGAGACUUUGGCCCAUAUGUGCACGUAGAUGAGUGUUGACACUUUUCACAGAACUGCAGCUCGGACAACAAUAAGGAUUUUCAAGCAGUGGAGUCAAACCAGGACUGCUGAAGAAAAAUUGGGAUAUUAACAGUAGGGACCAGAAAGAAGACACAAAUAAGAAACAAUCAUUUUUACCCAGAGACAAGGUCACUGAUGAGAAAUGAACAGAAAUGCUGUCAGCCUCCGAAGCCAUGUAACAGUUUUGACGAGUUGUUUUAUAACAUGCUGCUUUGCCACAAAACAAGACAACUCCUUUGCCAGAUAGGAGCGAGUGUAACAGUUGUUACCUUUCAACAACUCUUCAUUUCUGAUCAAAAGAGAAGGAGGUAAUUUUUUGAAAUCUGUUAAU
Molecule: long non-coding RNA, 642 nt
Organism: Pogoniulus pusillus (Red-fronted tinkerbird)
Lineage: Eukaryota; Metazoa; Chordata; Aves; Piciformes; Lybiidae
Exons: 4
Source: RefSeq, a predicted model, not a curated record